GGGAAAAUUCAGCUGGUGGCCCUUCUGGGGCCAGGUCCUCCCCAACCACGCACGGAGGAGGCCGCCGCCGAGCCCUCUGACGCCAGGGCCUUCGGGCGGGCCAAGAGCGCGCAGGGCGCUGAGCCGGCGGGUCGAGCCAGCGAGGGCUUGGACUCCCCGUGGUGUGUGUGCGCGCAAGCGCUCCUCGUCUAACCGUUCAGGACAAGUUGAAGCAACAUAAAUAAAGUCGGAUCUCCCAGCCUUGAGGUCCACCCCUCCUCCUUCCUGGUUUGACCCCAGGCCGGGGCCGCUCGGAGCCACGGCGUGUGCAGCCAAGAUUGCAAGCCGCUGCGCGUUACUGCCAGGGGAAGGGCGCCGCCCCCACCCCCCACCCCCACCCCCGCCACCAGCGGCCACGACUCGGGAGCCAUCGAGUCAAGGAGGGGCAGGGAUCACCGGAGAACCCUGAGGGGCAGCCUGGCCGCCUCCAAGGAGGUCGGGCGCGAGGACCGGGCUGGAGUGGCCCUUCUCUUGGGGUCCCCAACGAGCGGAGAGGCACGAGCCACGGCACGAGCUGGGAGGCAGAAAUGGGGUUUCGCGGUGCCCGGAGGGAUCGCGAGCCCCAGAGGCGUUCCCGUCUCCAACACGCCACUCGACAGAGGGUGCUCGGGGCGGUCGGGGCCUGCGGCCUGGGUCGCGCUGACCGGAAGUGCAUCUGCGAAGUGUCCUCUGGGCAGGGCGCUGGCCGCCGGGCCGGGCUGGGACAAGGACAAAGUCGGAGUCGCCCGGCUGGGGCGGGACGCUUCCACCCACCGGCCUGGGCGCAGGUGGGAGAGGAAGGAGGGAAGCAGACCCCGCUGAUUGUGGAGGGCGGGGGGCCCUCUGGAUGGGGAAAAGACGGAACCCCCAGGAACUCCAUCUGAGACCCGGGUGGAGUGCGGUGUGAGAGCAGGAAUUCAGCCUUGACUUGACUAACUUGAGGGGAAGUACAGGGUCGGGGGUGGGGGCUGAGAGCCACUCCUUCUUGAGAGUCCAAAAGACAGAGACUAGUCCUGAACCCAAGUCUGUGCCUCUCCCUACCAUGUGCCAAGCUCUCCGUAUGCUGGAGACUUGAUACUGAGCCAGUUGCCAAGGCGAGUCAGCCUGGCAGUUUACGAUGCAUUACUACAGUGUAAGUUUUAAUGUGGUUUGGUGUGACUGUGGCAAGACGGCCCUGGACCUCACUUUUCUCAUCUGUAAAAUGGGGAUGAUAACAUCCCACUCAAAGAAGUGCGUGCGGCUGAAUUAAGUAAAUUAUGCCAAAUAGCUAGCAGUGUGCGCUGGCAAGUAAAUUAUGAUUAUGUUAUUAACCAUUUCAAACUUCUGGAAGUGUCUUCUGAAUUGCCUUCAUCCUGUCCAAUGGACAAGUCCUGCCGGUGGAAGUGAAGGGGAGAGGAGGACAGGGUGAGCUCCGCUGAGGUGGUUUCUGGGACUUGCUUUGUCUUCUUCAGCACAUACAUUACCUUCAGCUUGGACAACAUUGCAACUAUUACAGGUUGCUUCUCCCCAGCCCCCUGGAGGCCGCCAAGCAGCAGCAGAGCCCCAAUCAGGAAGAAAGGAAAAUGAGGACGGAGGAAGGCAAGAAGGUGGGAAGGUCAGGGUCUUGGCCAGGUUCCGAGGUAAAGUCAGGUGCUAAGAGUAGAUAUGACACAGAAGAAGACACACAGCCACGGACAAGGCACGGAACAAAUAUUUAAAUUCUCCGAGCUUCAGUUUCCUCCACCGGACAAAGAAAAUUCUCUUUGCCCAUAAUGGUUGGAAGAUAAAAGGAGAUAUGGGCAAGAAAUCAAAUUACAUAAUAAUGACACAUCCAUAGACUUCACUAAUACAAUCCCGGGGAGGGGUAACCACCUCGUCCCUCUCCCCCAAGGUUAAGGGGAAGAGCUCUUAGCUUUGACCUCCUGAGAGUGCUGAAAUGGAGCCUUAAGGAAUAGG
Long non-coding RNA from Neofelis nebulosa (Clouded leopard), 1953 nucleotides. RefSeq lists it as uncharacterized. The record is from RefSeq and is a predicted model, not a curated record. The transcript is spliced from 3 exons. NCBI's taxonomy places the organism in Eukaryota, Metazoa, Chordata, Mammalia, Carnivora, Felidae.